Molecule: non-coding RNA, 745 nt
Filed under: Attagenus augustatus augustatus
Lineage: Eukaryota; Metazoa; Arthropoda; Insecta; Coleoptera; Dermestidae
Source: RNAcentral
AGAAAAUUUUAUUCUAGUUUUGAAUUUAAGUUAAUUUUCAUUUUACAUGUAAAAUUUAUUAAACAAUUUUUUUACCGCAGUAUUUAAUUUUAUAAAUUAAUUAAAUUUUGAUUUAGUGAAAAAUGUUAGUUCUGACAAAGCUUGUGCCAGCAGUUGCGGUUAUACUAGCAGUGCAAUUUAAGUUUUUCCAUAGACAAUUAAGAGUUUUUUAAUUAAUUUAUAUUAUUUUUUUGAGGUGAAAUUUGAAAAUUAAUUUUUUGAUUUUUUAUAUUUUGAUUUUGUGAUAUUUUUCUUUAAACUAGGAUUAGAUACCCUAUUAUUUUAAAUUUGAAUUUUGCUUUGGAUUAGUAUUAGUUAUGUUCUUUAAAAUUAAAGAUUUUGGCGGUAUUUUAUCCGUUCAGAGGAACCUGUUUUAUAAUCGAUAAUCCACGAUAAAGUUAACUUAGUUUAUUGGUUUGUAUAUCGUCGUUUAGAAUAUUUCAUUAGAUUAAAAAUGUUCGUUUAACUUUAAUUUGUGUUAGGUCAGAUCAAGGUGUAGCGUAUAAUUAAGGAAUGAUGGGUUACAAUAAAUUUAUUUUUGGUUUGUUCUAGUAAUGGGGGCAUUAAAUUGGAUUUGUAAGUAAUUAUGUUUUUUUUAUCCUGGUGAUUGUUGGCUCUAAAAUAUGUACAUAUCGCCCGUCGCUUUCAUGUAAAGUGAAAUAAGUCGUAACAAAGUAGGUGUACUGGAAAGUGUACCUGGGUUGAU